This 1258-nucleotide long non-coding RNA is filed under the name Zonotrichia albicollis (white-throated sparrow). Its description in RNAcentral is "lncRNA (ENSZALG00000008901.1)". The record is from RNAcentral. Lineage: Eukaryota; Metazoa; Chordata; Aves; Passeriformes; Passerellidae.
GCCGGGUCUGCGCUCUGGGACGCCAUGAGGGAAUAGUCCCUCUGUCCCCACGCCACGAGGGGAUCGUCUCGUCAUCCCCACGCCAUGAAGUGAUCAUUCCUCCAUCCUCAAGCCAUGAGAGAAUCAUCUCGUCAGCCCCGGGCCAUGAGAGGAUCGUCCCUCUAUCCCCUUGCUAUAAGGGAAUUAUCCCCAUGCCACGAGGGGAUAUCAUCCAUGAGGGCCUUGUCCCGACAUACCCACAGCCUGGUCCUCCUGCCCUCUGUGUCCCUGGCACCCUCAGACCCUUCAUUAUGACCAGAGCCAUCAAAAGAAUGGGGUAAAUCCCUUAAAAGUCCUCUCAACACUCUACACAGAAAAAAUAUGGGACUCUGAGGGCAAGUCAGAAUGCCCACCUCAGGUGGCGCUUGCCCAUGCCAGCCAUUCCCUCACCAUUCCUCAAACCAGGCCUGUGGGACAGAGCUGCAACUGACAAAGGACUCAGAAUCAGCUCUUGGCACGAAGCAAAGCACAAAUCUGAACUUAGAUGUGUCUGGGACAGAACAACACUUUUCUUUGUUUCGGCAAAACUUCACAUUGCCAAAAGACUUCAAUGCAGAACAAAGUUUUAUGAACCUAAAGACCAAGGUCGAUUGAAAAUCAGGAAUCAUUCAUGGAAAAUUAGCAAAUGUGACACACGCAGAGUGAAAUCUGCAUUAAGAACUGCCUCCAACUGGCAAGGCCCUAACCUGUGGGACAGUUUUAUUGGAUCUCCCAGGAUUACAGCAUAAUUUUCUUUGACAACUCGUUCACGAUCCAAACCGAGCAGAAACCCUUUCUGGGGGCAGCUCUGAGGCUGCCUGCUGUGUCAGGAUCUGUGAAAAAGAUCAAACCAGAACAAGCAGAAGGGAUUUUUCUGCUUUGUAGUGCAUGAGGAGGAACCAGGUGUGAGAUGGUGAGAGCACCAUGGCUCUGCUUCAGGCUCUGUAGCUCUUGUGUCCAGACACACAUGGGACCCCUCUCAACACCAGCUGGAGCUGAUGCCAGGCAGGAGGAGCAGAUGCUAACCCAGGACCAGGCCCGUGUGUUUCCAGACUCCGCCAUGCCUCAGGUACAUCCAAGGCACGGCGUCAAGGCUGAGCUCUUCCCACACCUCCGCCAUCUCUCCAGCACUCCUCGCUUUGUUUGACUGUUUAACCAAAAUCUUGGCCAGAAUAGAUCAUCAGAGCUGGCUCAGGGCCAAUGAAAAGCCUGGGAGAGUUCAUUCACAAUGUGGAAAAAG